UCUUGACCAUUAGACCUCCCUAAGAGGAUCAUUUUGAGAAACUCUCUCUUCCUUCUCAUGAAGCGUAUCAACUCAAAAAAUGUGGUGCGAUGCUGAGUUGUCCUUGCGAUAUUUCCACACCUGGAAGCUUUCUUCUAUAAAUCUCUAAGGAUUGGCAUCAAUCGGUGAAGAUCUACUGAGCAUGGAUUUGUCUUUUAAUCGUCAGAGAUCCACUGGUAACGAUCAGUCGCUGGUGUCAGAGCCUGCAAUCUCUCAUCAGAUCCGUUCUAAUCCCUGCUCAUCGAUUUAUACGUUUUCACCUCAUUCUGCACAGAAUCCCUUCAGCUCAAAGUCAAUCAGUCUUUCACAGUUCCCCCCGAAAUCUCAUUGCUGAUAAUCUACAAAUCGUGACCAACACUAAUCUGCUGGCACUUUUUCGAAGGCUUCCAAAUAUUUACGCGUUCCAAAUGCAUACAGUUGGAGUAUCCAUUUCUUGACUGGACAUCUUUUGAUUUUAUGGUGUAUUGAGAAUGUCACCGACGUCACAAAUAGUAACAUUCAAGCAAGCAACAUUUUAUAAAGCGUACAGUGAAUACAUGCAAUACCAACAAACUGAACAUUGAGCCGGACCACUCGUUUACAUAUUUAAGUGUGUGAAAAGUGAAUGUCGUUUUGAUAGAAAGUUAAUAGCAUGUUUGCAGCAUUUUUUAAAAAAACGUAGAAUUUUUCUUUUUGCGGGACAUGUUAAUGUUGUUAAACCGCGCAUCUUUAACUCAUUGUUCCCCUGGCCGUUGUACUAUUAAUUUGCUCAUUUGUUGGGCCAGUUAUUCUGCCCAGUUGCAAGAACAAUACGAAACCUCAGUUGCACGCAGUUACUCGGCAACGUAGAUGGACACAUGCGAACCAAUCAGUCAAAUACUUCUUUCGGACUUCAGAAACUUUGAUUCGCGAAACUGCUGAACUCUAGCGCCGACCGGACUGUUGAACUGAAAAUAGCUGAGAGCGCCAUGUGUUUUGAAUAUUAAUGUUUAGAUAAUUUGACGUUGAAACUGGUCGAGGUAGGGCGAUCUCUGCGUGCGGUGAACAAGGACUUGCUCUGUCAUUGAGGUAGCUGCAUGAGUGUGUGCUAAAGAGAUAGUUUUACCAAGAACCCUGUCACUCUGCCCGUUCAAUCGAGAUGCCGCAUUGGAGGUGCUGGUAGAGGUGAAUAUGUCAACCUGCUUCUAUUUGAAACAUUGACAUAGAGAAUCAUCUGGCAUUCAACGUGCAAACGUGGACAGAAGUGCUAGUGCAGGAUUUUUUUGAUCUGUUGAGGUGGGAAUGGCGCGUUAUUUUUCUGCACUGAACAGUUAAUGCUUAUAUUCUGGUGUGAAUCAUUGCUGCCCUGUCAUUGACAGCACGUACGAUGGGCAGCAGAGUUGCUGCAGUUUCUGGAACCAAGUGAACGUGGUGCACUUUAGCAAUUAUAUUUGCAUACUUCUCGAUGUUUUCAUGGCGAAUAUCGAUCCAAUGCAGUUCUUUUGAACGCCUGCGUUAAAAAAAACACCGAUUGCCCCGACUUUGAGCGCUGAGUAGUGAUAAAAUGUCCUUCCCUGUUUGUACACAACAUUGAUUGCCUGCUGCUUUAUUUAUCAGCCUCCGAGCUUUGCACGAACUGCUCUGACACGCUAUAAAAUGCUGUGUGUUAAUAUAAAUCCCACUGCAUUUAUCCCCACACUCACUCACGCCCUUAUAAAUCGAAUACACGUCUUGUUUGACCUUUGACAAGAUUUAAAGACUUGGGAGGAAAAUCCUCGUGACUUUCUUGUCAUACCGACAUCACCCAUAUGUUAGAAGUGAAAGUAUUAUGCGCUGCUAUUUGAAAUGAUGGCAAGCGCGCCCCGAAUGGACGCUGCCAAGCGCCUGACGAGAGCAGCCGCUAGCAUUUUAUGAGCGUGUCCCCAUCAAUCAUCUCUCGCGCGAUCGAAAGCGUUUUUUUUAAGACAAUGCAAUAAGUGCGCUACAAGACUAGCGUUUUCCAAAUCAUAACAUGUGGGCCUGGGAUAGGUGGAGAUUGCAAUGAAAGCGUGCGGAGGGGUGUAAUCUGCGCGGUUUGAAGUAUCCGUCCGUGUGUGUUUUAAAGCAGGGAGUGGAAAGUGCUCUGUGGAGCUUAGCCACGGCUCCACAAACCGUGGCCAACUGAUGGCCAGCACCAGCUCGUAGGUAAAUUGAAUGCAGGACUGAGUCUCAUGGGAAACUGCAAAAGUCAACAGCAGAGCACAAUGAUCGAGGCUGACAUGAGCACUUACUGGAGUGGGGAGGGACGAAUAGAACCUAAAGGAGAUAGAAUUUAAAACAUUAGAUUUGAAACAAGAUUGAAAGCAGCACGGGGACUAAAACAGUCUCUCAUUGGCAACAGGGGCAUUUUUAUUCUUACAACCAAGACUUUGCUUUGCAUCUUGCAUUGUGGAGCCAUGCCAGAGGCCUGAGCUAAUCUCCUCUCCAAUACUUUCGGGAGAGAACACUAUUGGGUGAGGACAGUCCGAUGAUCAACAUCAACUAUAUCACUGAAGUCACCGAGCAAUCCAAAACCUUAAACAUUUUCCAUCGUUUGUUCCAGGUAGAUAUUAAAAUUGCCACCCAUGUAUCAUUGCCACUGGACUAGGCGUAGAUAUACCAUCAACUGACUGAAUUAACACAAACGGGAUGAAUGUAUCCGGGAAGCAAUGAGUGAAAACGCAAACACUCUCCAUUGAUUGGGCCCCAAGACGAAAAUCUCACUGAGAGGGUAUGAAAGAUGGCGGCUUCGAUGAGUACGUGGUUCAAUAACGCGAACAUCCUUCAACUGAUUAGAGCCGAAAAAAUGUCCAGCUUCUAAUAUCCAUCAGGAGCUUUUGUGUAAAACACACCUUCAUCAACUGUGACAUAUUUCAGAGAUGUUGCUAUGUUUUACUAAACUCGUUGGAAAUAAAAAAAAACUGAUGAGAAAACACAAUACCAGUAGAUUGAUUUCACGUGAAAUUACUCCAACUAAUGUUUGCACUGACUUUUGCUGGUUAUUUGCAGAUGAAUUGAAAGUAACCAAGUCACUGGUGAAUGUAACACAUAUUUGAAUAUUGCUCUGACUGUUGAUUGUUCAGGUCAAUCGACACCACCCACAGAAACUGCGGAUGCUGGAAAUCUGAAACAGAAACAGAAAAACACGUCAGGCAACACCCGAAGAGGCAGAAACAACGUUGCCAUUUCAGUUCGAUAAUCUUUCAUCAGUUUUGAUUAAAUGUCAUUGACCUGAAACGUUAACUGCGUUUCCCCUCCACAGAUGCUGCCUGACUGGUUGUGAAUUUUUCGCACUUUGUUUUCUUCGUCUCCCUUCUAACGUCUGCCGACCAUUCUGUUGUGUACUUCAUGUUACCUUAGGUGCAUUGUUGUCACAAUAACGCGUCAAAUCUCAAAAUACUCACGAAACUUCACAAAACUACAACAUACUAAGUUAAACGUCCUUACACACUGCAGUUUAAGGACAAUAGCAGCUAUGUAUGAGUGAAUAAAAUGACAGUCGUCCAAUCCCUUCAUUCGGAGAACUUUAACCAAUUGUUCGUUUUUAGCCAUUUGUAUUAUUACAGUCUCUCUCGCUGUAUCGGUUAUAAUGUCAAAGGUGCGCAUAUAUUUCCAGUAAUGUUCUACAGUGUUGUUAGCAGUAUACUGGGACAGGGCCAGUUAACUUGAUCUUUCGGGAAUGUUGAUUGAUACGGCACCCUAAAGAAAAUGUGACAAUAAGACAGAAUACAAUUUCUAUUCUUUAUCUUUCUCUCUUUGUAGUAGUUAUGUUACUGUGUCGCUCAUAUUAGAUCUCAUAAUAUUGCAAUUCCAAUGACGCAAACUAAUCCUUAAAUAAUAUGCAGUGUGUAUCCCUGUUAUGGAUCCAGCUCUGUUUCCCAGACCAUAUAACAUAUUUCCAUUAGUGAUAUAAUUUCGCAAUACAGCGAGCACCGUUAACCGGCUGUACAUAUUAUUUUCCACAUACUGUAAAUCAACCCUCACAUUGCGUAAGACUUUAUUUCAUGAUAUCGUUGCAUGCAUUGUAGGUAACGUAAUUUCUCACAUUGUAUAUUGUUGCAUUUAAAAGUCUAUAUGCAAAAGCAUCCACUACAUAAAAAUUCGCCAUAUAUAUCUUGUAACAUCAAUUUAUACAAUCGUGUCUUGUAUUAAUUAUAUAACAACCCGCCACCUAUGAAAGACUAUCAUCAAGACGAAAUGACGUGUUUCUAUAUUGCAAAUACAAGUUUUGAACCUGUACAAACAGUACUUCUAAUACAAAGUAUAUC
Long non-coding RNA from Stegostoma tigrinum, 4283 nucleotides. RefSeq lists it as uncharacterized. The record is from RefSeq and is a predicted model, not a curated record. Lineage: Eukaryota; Metazoa; Chordata; Chondrichthyes; Orectolobiformes; Stegostomatidae. The transcript is spliced from 3 exons.